UACGUAGGGGGCAAGCGUUAUCCGGAUUCACUGGGUGUAAAGGGAGCGUAGACGGCCAUGCAAGCCUGGAGUGAAAGCCCGGGGCCCAACCCCGGGACUGCUCUGGGAACUGUGCGGCUGGAGUGCGGGAGGGGCAGGCGGAAUUCCUGGUGUAGCGGAGAAAUGCGUAGAUAUCAGGAGGAACACCGGCGGCGAAGGCGGCCUGCUGGACCGCGACUGACGUUGAGGCUCGAAAGCGUGGGGAGCAAACAGG
RNAcentral lists this ribosomal RNA (253 nucleotides) under uncultured bacterium. Its description in RNAcentral is "partial 16S ribosomal RNA". It matches the Rfam family "Bacterial small subunit ribosomal RNA", at positions 524 to 776 of the family's 1533-position model. The record is from RNAcentral.